UACGGAGGGGGCUAGCGUUGUUCGGAAUUACUGGGCGUAAAGCGCGCGUAGGCGGAUCUGCAAGUCGGGGGUGAAAUCCCGAGGCUCAACCUCGGAACUGCCUUCGAAACUGCGGGUCUCGAGUCCGGGAGAGGUGAGUGGAAUUCCUAGUGUAGAGGUGAAAUUCGUAGAUAUUAGGAAGAACACCAGUGGCGAAGGCGGCUCACUGGCCCGGUACUGACGCUGAGGCGCGAAAGCGUGGGGAGCAAACAGG
RNAcentral lists this ribosomal RNA (253 nucleotides) under uncultured bacterium. Its description in RNAcentral is "partial 16S ribosomal RNA". It matches the Rfam family "Bacterial small subunit ribosomal RNA", at positions 524 to 776 of the family's 1533-position model. The record is from RNAcentral.